GACUAACGCUGGCGGCGUGCCUAACACAUGCAAGUCGAGCGCCCCGCAAGGGGAGCGGCAGACGGGUGAGUAACGCGUGGGAAUCUACCCAUCCCUACGGAAUAGCUCCGGGAAACUGGAAUUAAUACCGUAUACGCCCUACGGGGGAAAGAUUUAUCGGGGAUGGAUGAGCCCGCGUUGGAUUAGCUAGUUGGUGGGGUAAAGGCCUACCAAGGCGACGAUCCAUAGCUGGUCUGAGAGGAUGAUCAGCCACAUUGGGACUGAGACACGGCCCAAACUCCUACGGGAGGCAGCAGUGGGGAAUAUUGGACAAUGGGGGCAACCCUGAUCCAGCCAUGCCGCGUGAGUGAUGAAGGCCUUAGGGUUGUAAAGCUCUUUCACCGGGGAAGAUAAUGACGGUACCCGGAGAAGAAGCCCCGGCUAACUUCGUGCCAGCAGCCGCGGUAAGAGUACUCUAU
Molecule: ribosomal RNA, 458 nt
Filed under: uncultured bacterium
Lineage: Bacteria
Description: bacterial SSU rRNA
Rfam family: Bacterial small subunit ribosomal RNA
Source: RNAcentral